Molecule: ribosomal RNA, 528 nt
Filed under: uncultured bacterium
Lineage: Bacteria
Description: bacterial SSU rRNA
Rfam family: Bacterial small subunit ribosomal RNA
Source: RNAcentral
GAACGUACCCUUCAGUUCGGAACAACCCAUGGAAACUUGGGCUAAUACCGAACUACGUCCGUACAGGAGAAAGAUUUAUCGCUGAAGGAUCGGCCGCGUCUGAUUAGCUAGUUGGUGAGGUAAUGGCUCACCAAGGCGACGAUCGUUAGCUGGUCUGAGAGGACGAUCAGCCACACUGGGACUGAGACACGGACCAGAACUCCUACGGGAGGCAGCAGUAGGGGAAUAUUUGGACAAUAGGGGGCAACCCUGAUCCAGCCAUGCCGCGUGAGUGAUGAAGGCCUUCGGGUUGUAAAGCUCUUAUGGCGGGGACGAUGAUGACGGUACCCGCAGAAUAAGCCCCGGAUAACUUCGUGCCAGACAGCCGCGGAUAAUACGAAGGGGGCUAGCGUUGACUCGGAAUCACAUGGGCGUAAAGCGACACGUAGGCGGACUCUUAAGUCGGUAGGUGAAAUCCUGGAGCUCAACUCCAGAACUGCCUUCGAUACUGAGAGUCUUGAGUCCGGGAGACGGUGAAGUGGAACUGCG